This 462-nucleotide ribosomal RNA is filed under the name uncultured bacterium. Its description in RNAcentral is "partial 16S ribosomal RNA". It matches the Rfam family "Bacterial small subunit ribosomal RNA", at positions 338 to 795 of the family's 1533-position model. The record is from RNAcentral.
CCUACGGGUGGCUGCAGUGAGGAAUAUUGGUCAAUGGGCGGAAGCCUGAACCAGCCAAGUCGCGUGAGGGAAUAAGGCCCUACGGGUUGUAAACCUCUUUUGCCGGGGAGCAAGGGCGGGGACGUGUCCCGGCCCGGAGCGUACCCGGAGAAAAAGCAUCGGCUAACUCCGUGCCAGCAGCCGCGGUCAUACGGUGGAUGCGAGCGUUAUCCGGAUUUACUGGGUGUAAGGGGAGCGGAGGUGGAGUGGUAAGCCAGCAGGGGAAACCCGGGGUUCAACCCCGCGGAUUGCUUUUGAAACUAUCAGGCUGGAGUGCUGGAGGGGUAAGCGGAAUUCCUAGUGUAGCGGUGAAAUGCGUAGAUAUUAGGAGGAACACCGGUGGCGAAGGCGGCUUACUGGACAGAAACUGACACUGAGGCUCGAAAGCGUGGGGAGCAAACAGGAUUAGAUACCCGUGUAGUC